AACGAACGCUGGCGGCAGGCCUAACACAUGCAAGUCGAGCGGACAUCUUCGGAUGUUAGCGGCGGACGGGUGAGUAACGCGUGGGAACGUGCCCUUUGCUUCGGAAUAGCCUCGGGAAACUGGGAGUAAUACCGGAUGUACCCUUUGGGGGAAAGAUUUAUCGGCAAAGGAUCGGCCCGCGUUGGAUUAGGUAGUUGGUGGGGUAAUGGCCUACCAAGCCGACGAUCCAUAGCUGGUUUGAGAGGAUGAUCAGCCACACUGGGACUGAGACACGGCCCAGACCUCCCCGGGGAGGCGGCAGGGGGAAUUCUUAACAAAGGGGGAAACCCUGAAUCUACCCGUCCCGGGGGGGGAAAAAGGCCUUUGGGGUUGUAAACCUCUUCCCCGGGGAAAUAUAAGGAGGUGCCCCGGAAAAGAGCCCCGGCCACCCCCGGUC
RNAcentral lists this ribosomal RNA (436 nucleotides) under uncultured bacterium. Its description in RNAcentral is "partial 16S ribosomal RNA". It matches the Rfam family "Bacterial small subunit ribosomal RNA", at positions 29 to 508 of the family's 1533-position model. The record is from RNAcentral.